This 448-nucleotide ribosomal RNA is filed under the name uncultured bacterium. RNAcentral's name for it is "partial 16S ribosomal RNA". It matches the Rfam family "Bacterial small subunit ribosomal RNA", at positions 29 to 523 of the family's 1533-position model. The record is from RNAcentral.
AACGAACGCUGGCGGCAGGCUUAACACAUGCAAGUCGAGCGCCCCGCAAGGGGAGCGGCAGACGGGUGAGUAACGCGUGGGAAUCUACCCAUCCCUACGGAAUAGCUCCGGGAAACUGGAAUUAAUACCGUAUACGCACUACGGGGGAAAGAUUUAUCGGGGAUGGAUGAGCCCGCGUUGGAUUAGCUAGUUGGUGGGGUAAAGGCCUACCAAGGCGACGAUCCAUGGCUGGUCUGAGAGGAUGAUCAGCCACAUUGGGACUGAGACACGGCCCAAACUCCUACGGGAGGCAGCAGUGGGGAAUAUUGGACAAUGGGGGCAACCCUGAUCCAGCCAUGCCGCGUGAGUGAUGAAGGCCUUAGGGUUGUAAAGCUCUUUCACCGGGGAAGAUAAUGACGGUACCCGGAGAAGAAGCCCCGGCUAACUUCGUGCCAGCAGCCGCCAGUAA